This 480-nucleotide ribosomal RNA is filed under the name uncultured bacterium. RNAcentral's name for it is "partial 16S ribosomal RNA". It matches the Rfam family "Bacterial small subunit ribosomal RNA", at positions 28 to 507 of the family's 1533-position model. The record is from RNAcentral.
GACGAACGCUGGCGGCGUGCUUAACACAUGCAAGUCGAACGGAACUACCCCAAUGAGUGUCUCCGGAAUGGAUUAGGUUUAGUUUAGUGGCGGACGGGUCAGUAACGCGCGGGUAACCUGCCCUAUACAGGGGGAUAACAGUUGGAAACGACGGUUAAUACCGCAUAAGCGCACAGGCGCUCAUUCUCCGGUGUGAAAAACUCCGGUGGUAUAGGAUGGACCCGCGUCGGAUUAGCUGGUUGGCGGGGUAACGGCCCACCAAGGCGACGAUCAGUAGCCGGCCUGAGAGGGUGAACAGCCACAUUGGGACUGAGACACGGCCCAAACUCCUACGGGAGGCAGCAGUGGGGAAUAUUGGACAAUGGGCGAAAGCCUGAUGCAGCGACGCCGCGUGAGCGAAGAAGGAUUUAGGGAUGUAAAGCUCUAUCAGCAGGGAAGAUAAUGACGGUACCUGGAUAAGAAGCCCCGGCUAACUACGUG